UGCGUUGUCCAGACCGGCAACCAAUGUGUCGAUGUUCGCGUCGUCGAGGACGAUGGCAGCGGACUUGCCGCCGAGUUCGAGGGUCGAACGGCGCAGC
Molecule: transfer RNA, 97 nt
Filed under: Rhodococcoides trifolii
Lineage: Bacteria; Bacillati; Actinomycetota; Actinomycetes; Mycobacteriales; Nocardiaceae
Description: Rhodococcus trifolii tRNA-Ala
Source: RNAcentral